AACUGCUUUUUAGGGGAAUAAAGAGGGGCACGCGUGCCCUGUUGCAUGUAGCCUUGGAAUAAGGACCGGCUAACUCCGUGCCAGCAGCCGCGGUAAUACGGAAGGUCCAGGUGUUAUCCGGAUUUAUUGGGUUUAAAGGGAGCGUAGGCCGCAGGUUAAGUGUGUUGUGAAAAGCAGUCGCCCAACGUCUGCCUUGCAGCGCAAACUGUCCUGCUUGAGUGCGCACAACGCAGGCGGAAUUCGUCGUGUAGCGGUGAAAUGCUUAGAUAUGACGAAGAACUCCGAUUGCGAAGGCAGCUUGCGGGAGCGCAACUGACGCUGAAGCUCGAAAGUGCGGGUAUCGAACAGGAUUAGAUACCCUGGUAGUCC
Molecule: ribosomal RNA, 369 nt
Filed under: uncultured Prevotella sp.
Lineage: Bacteria; Pseudomonadati; Bacteroidota; Bacteroidia; Bacteroidales; Prevotellaceae
Description: bacterial SSU rRNA
Rfam family: Bacterial small subunit ribosomal RNA
Source: RNAcentral